UACGUAGGGGGCUAGCGUUGUCCGGAAUCAUUGGGCGUAAAGCGCGUGUAGGCGGUCCGGUAAGUCCGCUGUGAAAGUCGAGGGCUCAACCCUCGAAUGCCGGUGGAUACUGUCGGGCUAGAGUGCGGAAGAGGCGAGUGGAAUUCCUGGUGUAGCGGUGAAAUGCGCAGAUAUCAGGAGGAACACCUAUUGCGAAGGCAGCCCGCUGGGACGUUACUGACGCUGAGACGCGAAAGCGUGGGGAGCAAACAGG
Molecule: ribosomal RNA, 253 nt
Filed under: uncultured bacterium
Lineage: Bacteria
Description: partial 16S ribosomal RNA
Rfam family: Bacterial small subunit ribosomal RNA
Source: RNAcentral